Molecule: unclassified non-coding RNA, 1534 nt
Filed under: Hevea brasiliensis (rubber tree)
Lineage: Eukaryota; Viridiplantae; Streptophyta; Magnoliopsida; Malpighiales; Euphorbiaceae
Source: RNAcentral
AAAAAAAAAAAAAAAGAAUUUUUGGUAAGCUAAUUGCUACUCAAAUAUCAAUUUAGAAGUUUCAUCAAUGUCUAUAUAGGCACCAAUUAGUGGCAUUUCACGUUGCAUCUGAGACCAAUAGAGGUUAGCACACUUCAGAAGCAAUAAGGAUUAAGGUGGCGCCCCCCUUUUCUGCUAAUUGGAUUAAACUAACACAUUUGGCGUAUUAACCAUUAUAAUGUGUGUGUUUGACUCAUUAUCUAAUUACAAAAAUAUUUGUUUAUUGAUAUUAUUAUUUUGCAAAUAAUUAUGCAGGCAUAGAAAUGAGCAGAAUUUGCUUGUACUAUGGAAACAAGCAAAUAUUGACCUCUAACUUUAUAAGAUUCAUUCGAUUUGGCAAUUACUUAACAAGAUACCUAUCCCUUAGACAGCACAUUAGCCGCAUAGCUGCCGAGACUAUGGAACACCAUAUGUUAGUUCAGUCAGGUUUUACUAGGUGUCCUCAUCAAUUUUGUUUCUAUGAGAUAUUUAGUAUCGUAAAGCAAUUUAUUGGUUUACACAACUACAUACAAGCCGCUAGAAGAAAAAUUGUGAUUGGAGAAUAGUUGAGCACCUAGCCUCGUUGUCUUUUGCAGAAACCAAUUUAUGACAGCGAGCUUCUAAAAAUGCGUUGAAAAUUUAUAUUUGUCAUGAGAAACUGCUGAGUACUUCCAGCUGAAUUUGUUUUGCACGUCCACAUUCUUAUAUUUUUCUAAUGGUUCUUUGUCAUUUAAUGUUUGAUGAACAGGAAAUCCCGCAAAUGAUCUUGUAGGGAUCAUUAAUGAGAAUCGAACAGCCCAUAAACUUCCACAGCUUAAUGACAGCCCUGGCCUCGGCUGCAUGGCCCUGCAAUAUGUUGAAUUAUGCAAGGGUAACUGCACUGGUAACAGGGCUGUAAACUGCAAACCACCUGAGGAUGACUUCACUGAGGUUUUUGCUCCUAAUUGUGGUGUAGAACUACCCACUUUUGGCACCAUAACUGGCCACAUUGUAGGUUGUGAAUUCAAGUAUCUCCAACCAUCAGAAGCCUUUUCUCAUGUUAUUGUCAAAGACAAUAGAACUUUAUCCAUUCUGCGAAAUAAAUCACAUACAGAGGUGGGAGUAGGCUUGGUUGGGCUUCACAAGGGUCCUUUCUUUUGGUGUAUUUUAUUUAGCAAUGGCCAGACGAAUUCUACAUUUGUUCUUGAAGAUCAAGGUAAAGGGAUUAAGCAAAAGAAAGGGUGCUACAGCGGAAGCUUUUUUCCAUGCAGUGGUGGGCAGAAGAUCAGUGUGUUAUUGAAUAAUAUUAUGACCUUGGUUUUUCUAUAUAUUUUCCUCUUCCUAAUUUUGCACCAAAAUCAGUUUGUGAUGAUGUGAAUUUUGUGCAUGACUCUGCUCGAAGUUUUCUACCAUAUUGUAAAAGGUACAUUGUAUGAUGUGCAAUUUUUCCAACGUGUCUAUCCUUUGCGAUGUUUCAGUUUUCUAGUUUCUUGAUGAGUGUAGAAAAAAGUUGAAUUCAACCUAAAUUUAGAAUCUC